CUCGACUCUCCCACCCUUUGUGAACGUACCUCUGUUGCUUUGGCGGCUCCGGCCGCCAAAGGACCUUCAAACUCCAGUCAGUAAACGCAGACGUCUGAUAAACAAGUUAAUAAACUAAAACUUUCAACAACGGAUCUCUUGGUUCUGGCAUCGAUGAAGAACGCAGCGAAAUGCGAUAAGUAAUGUGAAUUGCAGAAUUCAGUGAAUCAUCGAAUCUUUGAACGCACAUUGCGCCCCUUGGUAUUCCGGGGGGCAUGCCUGUUCGAGCGUCAUUACAACCCUCAAGCUCUGCUUGGAAUUGGGCACCGUCCUCACUGCGGACGCGCCUCAAAGACCUCGGCGGUGGCUGUUCAGCCCUCAAGCGUAGUAGAAUACACCUCGCUUUGGAGCGGUUGGCGUCGCCCGCCGGACGAACCUUCUGAACUUUUCUCAAGGUUGACCUCGGAUCAGGUAGGGAUACCCGCUGAACUUAAGCAUAUCAAUAAGCGG
Molecule: ribosomal RNA, 489 nt
Filed under: Lasiodiplodia theobromae
Lineage: Eukaryota; Fungi; Ascomycota; Dothideomycetes; Botryosphaeriales; Botryosphaeriaceae
Description: eukaryotic LSU rRNA
Rfam family: 5.8S ribosomal RNA (bases 119-272)
Source: RNAcentral